UAUUAGAUUUUUUUUUACUAAGAGCUCGCUUGAUUGGCGUAAUUAUAAAUACGGUGCAGUUGAAGAUACAUAUAGUUAAAAAUAUAGUAAUUAUAAUUAUAUUUUUUUUAUUUGGUUGGAUACAGUAGAUAGCACUGUAGGUUGGUUAGAUACAGUAGAUAGCACUGUAGGUAUAAAAAUUUUAUUUGAUUACAUGCGAUUGAAAAAUACAUUUACGAAUUUUAUCAUUUUAUACAUGAGAUCGUAACAUUAUCCCUUAGGUAGGAAAGAGAAAGAAAAAAUAUCAAUUAAAAUGGUUAUUAGAGAGAAAACUUAUCUUUGUUUGGAAUUAUUCUUUCCAAAUGUUGCAGUUGAAACUACGAUUAAUUCUGACGUAGUUUUGACUACAUAAGCUGAAUUUAAAUACAUAAAAAAAAUAUCAAAUUUGAAUAU
RNAcentral lists this long non-coding RNA (432 nucleotides) under Ananas comosus (pineapple). RNAcentral's name for it is "long non-coding RNA (ACOM_LNC004327)". The record is from RNAcentral. Lineage: Eukaryota; Viridiplantae; Streptophyta; Magnoliopsida; Poales; Bromeliaceae.